GGGCCUGUAGCUCAGGUGGCUAGAGCGCACCCCUGAUAAGGGUGAGGUCGGUGGUUCAAGUCCACCCAGGCCCACCA
This 77-nucleotide transfer RNA is filed under the name Acidobacteria bacterium 13_1_40CM_4_61_5. Its description in RNAcentral is "tRNA-Ile". It matches the Rfam family "tRNA". From Rfam's summary of the family: Transfer RNA (tRNA) molecules are approximately 80 nucleotides in length. Their secondary structure includes four short double-helical elements and three loops (D, anti-codon, and T loops). Lineage: Bacteria; Pseudomonadati; Acidobacteriota. The record is from RNAcentral. RNAcentral also lists the same sequence under 10 other names.